UACGGGGGGGGCAAGCGUUGUUCGGAAUUACUGGGCUUAAAGGGUUUGUAGGUGGCCGGCUAAGUCAGACGUGAAAUCCCUCAGCUUAACUGGGGAACUGCGUCUGGGACUGGUCGGCUUGAGGGCCGGAGAGGAACGCGGAAUUCCAGGUGUAGCGGUGAAAUGCGUAGAUAUCUGGAGGAACACCGGUGGCGAAGGCGGCGUUCUGGACGGCAUCUGACACUGAGAAACGAAAGCCAGGGGAGCAAACGGG
Molecule: ribosomal RNA, 253 nt
Filed under: uncultured bacterium
Lineage: Bacteria
Description: partial 16S ribosomal RNA
Rfam family: Bacterial small subunit ribosomal RNA
Source: RNAcentral